GCGCAGGAGGCCGCCCGCGCCCGCGUCCGGGGCCGAGCCGCCGAGUCCUUCGCCCUUAAGCUGCCGGUUCCUGGGCUGGGGGAAAAUGUCAAGAAGCAGCCUCUAUUUCAACUCUCUAAGGUUGUGAGAUACCAGACUCUGAAUUAAUCUCAUGGAGGAGAAAACCAAGCAAGGUGGCCUGAAAGUAUUUGCCCUGCUGAGCAUCAGGAGAAAAUUUGAAGCUACAGUCGCCAGGGAGAGGAGACAGUUUGGAUGUUCCUGGCUCUUUCUCCUUCAGUCUACAUUCCAAGUUCCUCGGCUCUGUCUAAACCACACAGAAGUCAAAAGAGUGACCCAGCCUAUUCAGAACUCAUUGAACUAAGAGGAAAGCCAUGGUUAAGAUAUUCUAUGUGGUAUAUGUAAGCCAUGGCAUUUUUACUGUUUUACUGUUUCAGUUAAAGUAAUUUAAAGAAAAAAAUUACCUUUGUACUACAUUUAGGAGGACAAAUUAAUUAUGACAUGCUUAGAAACCAUUAAUAUGUGUGGAUUCCUAUCAAGUAAUUAUUCAAACCCACACAUUCACAAAAAAAGAGAAAGAAAUAGAUUCUCGCUAGAAAUUUACAUAUACAAAUUUGAAAAGUUCAUUUCUAAACUGCUAUGAUUUAUUACACCCACAUCUUGAUCAUUUGAAUUAUGUAUUAAACACAUACUUUAAAAAUACUUGUUAUUAUGAUAUGCUUUACACAACAAUGUGUUAUAUUUCUUGCUGGGAAUUCAUUAUUAAUAUAUAUUUAUAGGACACAUUCAAAUGUAUCGAGAAAUGUAGAUACAUUUAUUGGUAACAAGUGAAAUUAAUGAAGCAUCUGUGAAUGAGAUUUUAAUUUACUGUUACCUGAAACUUAAUAAAACUUUAAAGCCUGAUUUUUAAAUUCAUCAAGUUGCCAAAAUAUGAGUUUUUUUUUUUUUCCUAAGGAUAGAAGAGAAGGAAAAUUAGCAUGUUUCUACUUUCCUCCUAGCACAGAGCGCAGUUUACUAAAGACUUCAAUAAGAAUAUGACAUUGUAGUGACCUGCAAAAUAAAAGCAAUCAGAAUCUAGCCUAGGCAACCUACCAGCAAAAUUAUAUAUAUAUAUCUAUAUAUACACAUAUGAAAUUAUAUAUAUAUAUAUAGCUACACACACGCAUAUGAAAUUGAGUAUAAUAGCUUUAAGUCAGCACACAGAGGUGAGACAAAAGAGAUUACCAGAGAAUAAGAACACAGAGCACAAAGAAUGUUAAUUACAGUAUUAUUUAAAAUAGCGUAUUAUAAAAUCUCAAUGAAUCCUAAUGAAUCAGAGGAUUUAUUUGAGCCUAACAACGGCUAAAUACUUCUUUAAAUGAAAUCAAGAGACAUUAGAAAAAGCCAAAAAAAAAAAAAAGGACUUAAAGGGUCCACCUUGAGCUUAAAAUGGGAACAAAGAAACAUUGCACAUAAGGUCAGUGGAGAACUUGAAAAUUCAUUAUGAUUUCACCAACAUAUUUAACUCACUGAUUCUUCUUUGCUUCACAGUCAAGUAUUUAGACUCCACCCUUGGCAAUGUUUUCUCAGCCACUAGCUCUGCCUGCUGUUAUUAUUUCCUUUUCCACCAUGUAGAAAUGGAGACUUAAUAAAAGCAUAUUUUAUUUCUUAUCUGCUAUUUUGUGGGUCUUGCCCUGAUAAUCAUUACCUGUCUUUAUUACAGAAAAAAAUUCUUUUUUAAAAGGCAUGCAUGUUGAAUGACCAUAUUUAUGCGCUGGCUGUUCCAUAAGUGAUAGCAAACUUCCCUUUAGCUACUCCAGCUCUUCUCAGUGGGCUGGGGACAAG
Capra hircus (goat) is the source of this 1821-nucleotide long non-coding RNA. The record is from Ensembl. NCBI's taxonomy places the organism in Eukaryota, Metazoa, Chordata, Mammalia, Artiodactyla, Bovidae.